AGGUGUGCGGAAAAACACGGCUUCUGCUGGAGAUGGAAAAAGGACUCUGGGGAGGACAAGAUGCCUCAUGUCAAAGCAACAAGGUUCCAGUGAAGAGCUGCAGGCCUCAGAGGCAGUUUAUUUCAUCAAAAAGAUCGGAAGCCUAAAAACAGCAUUGUUAGGGAACUGGCAGCUCAAGACAAAGAAGCCGAACCAGAAGAGGGCACUCUUACCACAGAG
RNAcentral lists this long non-coding RNA (219 nucleotides) under Homo sapiens (human). RNAcentral's name for it is "non-protein coding lnc-GYG1-1:1". Lineage: Eukaryota; Metazoa; Chordata; Mammalia; Primates; Hominidae. The record is from RNAcentral.